This 3683-nucleotide long non-coding RNA is filed under the name Homo sapiens (human). RNAcentral describes it as "non-protein coding lnc-DUS3L-1:1". The record is from RNAcentral. Lineage: Eukaryota; Metazoa; Chordata; Mammalia; Primates; Hominidae.
CCCGCUGUCCUCAGCGCCCCCCAUCAAGCAGGUCUCACUUUGUCACCCAGGCCGACGUGCAGUGGCGCCAUCAUAGCUCACUGCAGCCUUGACCUCCUGGGCUGAAGCGAUCCUCCUACCUCAGCCUCCGUGUAGCUGGGACUACAGAUGUGCACCACCGCACCCAGUUAAUUUCUUAAUUUUUUAGAGAGAUGGGGUCUUGCUGUGUUGCCCAGGCUGGUCUCCAAAUCCUGGGCUGAAGCAAUCCUCCCACCUCAGCCUCCCAAAGUGCUCGGAUUACAGGCAUGAGCCACCGUGUCUGGCCCAGGCAGCUGACCUCUUUGACUGAUUCAAGCCUGCUGGCAUCAGGGUCAAGGCCGAGGCAGGGGUGGAACCGUGCAGCGGUGGCUGAAAACCAUAUCCCAAAGCCUGCCUGCCCUUUCUGGUGUUUGCCUGGAAAUUAGUUCUGCUCGUUCACUGCCUCCACUCCCUGCAACACUCACCCCACCUCCACCUGCUCUCUGCCCACGUGGUGGUUGUGAAACUCAGGGAUCAGAGAGGUCAAGCCACUAACCUAAGGUCACAAGUAAGGAAAAAGCUGCAAAGUGGGGCUGGAUGACUGUACCACGCUCCACCCCUGUCCUCCCGGAGGCUGGCCCCCUGCCCUCCCCAGGAGGCCACUGCUCCCAAAGGGAGUGAUCUGUUCUUGGGUGGAGACUCCAGGGCAGAGGUUCUGGGAGGCCGGGGGCCGCUGGCCAAGACUCAGACUUGGCUGCUGGAGAAGUUUCCAUCUUAGCGCCAGGAGUUGGGCCAGGUUCUGGGGGCUUGGGCUGCACCUCAGGACCCCCGGGGACCAGCCCUGUGGGGGUGGAGGUGGCUGGAUGCCCACUGUGUCCCCUGGCUGGAGCACUGGCCAUCCCAGCACACUGGGCACCACCCCAGCCUCCAGUGUGUUGGUGACUGAGCUUAUGGGGUCUGUUUCCCCAUCUGCCAAAUGGCUCCCACGUUUGUUCUGUGCCCAGCACUGGGCAUGUAAUAUGUUACCAGAGGUGGGUGCUGUCAUUCUCCCGUGGAGAGGGAAAGGGACUUACCCAGGACACUGGGACAGCUGAGGGCUCCCCAGAAACGAUGUUUUGGGGCUACUGAUUCAACGGUCACUCUCACCCCAGGCCCAACCCAUGCCGAGCACACACAGAGGCCUCAGCUCAGGCAGAGGACACAGAGCUGGAGACACACUCCCGGGCGGGGGUCAGGCUGGCCCGGAGCAAGGUCCCCGGGAGCUGGGUUAGGAGCCCGCCAGGCGGGGAUGGGACCCACAAGGCCUGUGGGUGGCAGGAAGGGGCCGGCCCGUUCCAGGUGAGGAUGGUGAAAACAGGGCCAGCAGCUGUCCCCACAGGACCAUUUACAGCCACAGGUCGCAGGUCAAGGGGCCCGUCCCUGGGGGCCUUAGGUCAGCAAGGUGGGAAAACCAUCAGGCCCACCAAGGAGGCCAGGGCAGGGGAAUAGAGUCUCAGGAGCAAGGUUGUGCAAGCAGGGAGCUGGGCUGGGGUUGUGCGGUCUCGUGUGGGACAUAGCAGUGGCUGAGUGGCUCUUCUCAGGAACUCACAGUGGCACCAACAUUCAUGCAUACCCACACACAAACACACAGACACACACAUACAGAGUCAUACAUAGGCCACAGCCACCAAGGUAUAUACACAAUCCCUCAUGCACCUUCAUAACACACUAGACAGACACACAAUCACGCAGACACACAAUGGCACACACACAGGCCUCCCCCAAGUCAUGCAUCCACGGCAGUCUGGCUCCCACAUGCACACACACUCAGGGACAUGCGCUCGCACCCGGCUCCCCCGCUCUCUGCCACCUCCCGCCCACCCGCCUGCCCUGCCAUCUCGCGUCCUUGGCCCGGGCUGCCCUAAUCCCAGGCUCCUGUCCUGAAGCCAGGAGAUAAGGAGCAGCUGCAGCCACAGAUAAAGGAGUCGCAGCCACAAAUCCGGGGCGGCCGCGGCAGCAUCGGGCACUGAGCCCGGGGCCGCACCUGCCCUGCUGCUGCCACCCCCAUCCGGCCUGGGCGAGAGGGCUGCGGAGAGGGCAAGAGGGGGACACAGAGUGGGGGAGAGACUGAGGAGCAUGGAGGGAGGGGGAACUAGAGAGAGAGAGAGGGAGAGAUGCAGAGAAAAAUUCGAGAGAUUCGAGAGGGUCACAGAGAGAAGGAAAUACAGAAAGAACUAGAAAUGUUUUCUGAGUUAGAAACAGGAAGAAUAGGUUGAGCACAGUGGCUCAUGCCUGUAAUCCCAGCAGUUUGGGAGGCUGAGGUGGGAGGAUUGCUUGAACCCAGGAGUUUGAGACCAGCCAGGACAGCAUGGCGAGACCCUAUCUCCACAAAAAAUACAGAAAUUAGCCAGGCAUGAUGGUGGGCGCCUGCGGUCCCAGCGACUUGGGAGGCUGAGGCGGGAGGAUUACUUGAGCCCAGGAGGUUGAGGCUGCAUUGAGCCGAGAUCAUGCCACUGCACUCCAGCCUGGGUGGAAGAACAAGAUCCUGUCUCUAAAAAAAAAGAGAGAAACAGUGGCCGGGCACGGCGGCUCAUGCUUGUAAUCCUAGCACUUUAGGAGGCCGAAGUGGGUGGAUCACUUGAGGUCAGGAGUUUGAGACCAGCCUGGCCAACAUGGUGAAACUUCAUCUCUACUAAAACUACAAAAAAUUACCUGGGCGUGGUGGCGGGCACCUGUCAGCCCAGCUACUUAGAAGGCUGAGGCAGGAGAAUCGCUUAAACCUGGGAGGAGGAGGUUGUAGUGAGCCGAGAUCACGGCACUGCACUCCAGCCUGGGCGAUGGAGCGAGACUCCGUCUCGAAAAAUAGUAAUAAUAAUAAGAAAGAAAGAAGGAAGGAAGGAAGGAAGGAAGGAAGGAAAAGAAAGGAGGGAGGGAGGGAAGGAAGGAAGGAUAAGGGGGAGAGAGAGAGAGAAAGAGAGACAAAGAACAACCAGCUGGCGACUAAACAAAGAACCACCAGUUGAGUCCCCAGGCCCUGCUCCACCCCUACCUGGGUGCCUCAGUCUCCCCACCUGCUCAGGGGCCCCAGGACCACCAACCUCCAUCCUGCCUCCUCCAGGUUAGUCAAGGACAGUCCAGGCCUGGUCCAGGAUCGGGGGGCAUAUUCCUCAGUGUCCCCACACACUGUACAGUGACACCAAUAGCUUGAGCCAGGGCCCUUGGGAAGCCCUCAGCCCCCUCCCUCAGCCUCAGUGAAGGUGGGAUUCUCUAGGGCAGGCUCUGCACCCCUGUGCCUCAGUUUCCCCAGUCAUGGUAAGACGCAUUCACUCGGCAAGUGUCCACGGAGCACCUCCUGUGUACCAGACCCUGUGCUGGGCGCUAGGGACACAGAGGGACUAAGCUAAGCCCGUUUCCCACCCUCUCUGGGCUCAUCGUCCAGUGGGAAAGACGGGCAUGUGGCCAGGCAUCCCCAGUCCUGCCGGGGCCCUGAUGGGGGGCCAUUCAGAAAGCUGCAGAGCCCAGGCCACGCGCGGUGGCUCAUGCCUGUAAUCCCAGCACUUUGAGAGGCCGAGGUGGGCGGAUCAUGUGAGGCCAGGAAUUGGAGACCAGCCCGGCCAACAUGGUGAAACCCCAUCUCUACUAAAAAUACAAAAAUUAGCUGGGCGUGGUGGUAUGCACCUGUAAUCCCAGCUACUAGGGAAGCUGAG